UAAAACUAGAUUUGAGGUGAUUAGGCGUUUUAGAAGUGAAGCCUCGGCCUAAACCCUACGCAUUCAUCCAUUCCAUUCUAGGGUUUUCACUUUUCAUCUACACCAGCAUGAAUGACAUGGAACACCGGAAGACCAACGAUGGAAAAGGAAGAAGAUUGGAUGGAGAAGAAGAGGAGGAGGAAGAAGAUGAAGACGAGGGAAAUGGAAGAGGCCUUGAUGCAUGGGAGAGAGCUUAUGCUGAUGAGAGAUCAUGGGAGUCUCUGCAAGAGGAUGAGUCUGGACUUCUUCGCCCCAUUGACAACAAAACCAUUUACCACGCUCAGUAUCGAAGGCGCAUUCGCUCCCUAUAUUCCUCCACAACCACUGCUCGAAUUCAAAAGGGUCUCAUUCGCUAUCUCUACAUUGUUGUUGAUCUCUCCAGGGCAGCUUCAGAGAUGGAUUUUAAACCUAGCCGAAUGGCUGUAGUUGCAAAACAUAUUGAGGCUUUCAUUAGGGAGUUCUUUGACCAGAAUCCACUUAGUCAAAUUGGCCUGGUGACCAUAAAGGAUGGGUUGGCUCAGUGCUUAACAGAUCUUGGUGGUAGUCCUGAUUCCCAUGUUAAAGCUUUGAUGGGUAAGUUGGAGUGCUCUGGUGAUUCCUCCCUACAGAAUGCCCUAGAUCUGGUUCAUGGGUAUCUAAAUCAAAUCCCAUCAUAUGGUCAUCGUGAAGUUCUGAUCUUAUAUUCAGCUCUCAGUACUUGCGACCCAGGAGAUAUAAUGGAGACCAUCCAGGAAUGCAAGAAAUCUAAAAUACGUUGUUCAGUUAUCGGCCUUUCUGCAGAAAUUUUUAUAUGUAGACAUCUCUGCCAAGAGACUGGUGGAUCAUACUCUGUUGCAUUGGAUGAGUCCCACUUUAAAGAGUUGCUACUAGAGCAUGCACCCCCGCCACCAGCAAUAGCAGAAUUUGCAAUUGCUAAUUUGAUCAAGAUGGGUUUCCCUCAAAGAGCAGCAGAGGGUGUUAUUUCAAUAUGUUCAUGCCAUAAAGAGGCUAAAGUUGGUGGGGGCUACACUUGUCCAAGAUGCAAAGCACGUGUGUGUGACCUGCCUACAGAAUGUCGUAUUUGUGGGCUGACACUAGUUUCUUCUCCUCAUUUGGCAAGGUCAUAUCACCAUCUCUUCCCAAUACCACCUUUUGAUGAGGUGUCUCUCUCACUUUUAAAUAAUCCGCAUCAAAGGUCUUCUAGAGCUUGUUUUGGUUGCCAAGAAAGUCUUCUGAUCCCUGGAAACAAACCUACUCUUUGUGUUGCUUGCCCAAAAUGCAAACAGCACUUCUGCCUUGAUUGUGACAUUUAUAUUCACGAGAGCCUACACAACUGUCCGGGUUGUGAGAGCUUCAGGCAUUCUAAGAUAGUAAGUGUUACUGAGGAAUGACAGAUUACUGCAGCAUAUUUUUUAUAAUUUGUUUCUCUGGGCCUAAGUCAAGCAUAAGCUCAUGAUAUGCAUACAAGCUACUGGCCUCAAUGUAACACAAUCCACAGCAUUCAGGGAAAAGCUGCUAUACCCACCGCAAUAUACCCGAAAAACCCUCAAUUUAGGGUGCAAAAAGAUAGAGCCAGCAGGGACCAGCUUGCCAACAUUGGCACAAGCAGCAGAGGUGCAAUUUUUAUGUGCAAGAGAAGCACCAAGUGGAAGCUACCAAUUUACAUUUUUAGUGGAUGACUCCCACUUACAUUUCCCUAGGGCAAAUAGAAAACAAUCUUGCAACAUAGGCAUAUGAUAUGCAGGUAAACCAAUUUCUUUUACAUGCCUAACUAGGAGGGAGGGAGGGGAAUUAAGCAAUAUUGCAUUUUACAUAUAACAUAAGGAACCUCAUUUUCAGUUGAUGUUGGUGGGUACUGGAAGGUUCUCCCUUUUAUGAAAUAACUUAGUUGUUUGA
Vitis riparia (riverbank grape) is the source of this 1914-nucleotide RNA transcript. It is a transcript of the gene named general transcription factor IIH subunit 2, with no coding region annotated. The record is from RefSeq and is a predicted model, not a curated record. NCBI's taxonomy places the organism in Eukaryota, Viridiplantae, Streptophyta, Magnoliopsida, Vitales, Vitaceae. The transcript has 6 exons.